CAGGACGAUUGAAACACGUCAUGGAGAAAACAGAACUGAAUGGAUUGUCCUGCUGCCUUUUUGACCAAAUGUGAUGCUGAACGUACAGGAGGUAGACACUAACAUCUCGUUGAUUAUUACUCAGAGCUUGAUGAUGGAGAGUGCUGAUUCUAGAACCAGACUGCCUGAUUGGGAAUUCUGGUUCUGCCAGGUGCUAGCCAUGUGACUUGAACAGUUACUCACAGUCUUCCUUCGUAUUCCUAUCUGAAAAAUGGGAAUAACAGUCGCACUUACCACACAGAGUCGUGAAGACUACAUCAAUAAUCGUAUAGCGCUUAGAACAGCGCCUCCAUAUGGUGGAGAAGUCUGUAUUGUUAGUCCAUACAUACAGAAGGCUUAAAAAUUAAGAGCAUUUUUACAAAACUGGAGCUGGAGCAAUCUGACAAAUAAAACAGCAAGUGAACGAAAGUGAAUGCUCCAAGGACGAUCUUCAUCUAUUGAAAGAGGAAUGUCAAUCCAUUAUCCAUUUCCACUAGGAAUUGUAUUCAAGCUUUAUGAAUGUUUGAAAACAGUAACUCAGUUGUUUUCUAGUUUCAAGUUAAUGUUAAUAUUUAGUAAGACUUCAAGAAGACUAUAUGUCAAAGAUAUCUCAAAAAAGUUAUUAAAAAGAACAAAAGUUGUUCAAGAACAAAAACAUAACCCAUUAGAAGCCUAUGAGUAUAUUAUGUACUAUAUGCGAACAUAUUAGAAACUUUAACGAGAAGAACUAACGUGUUCCAUUUGUGAAAGCUUAGAAUUGACUCCAAUAAAAAAGAAUAAAAAGUCA
RNAcentral lists this long non-coding RNA (805 nucleotides) under Equus asinus (donkey). RNAcentral's name for it is "lncRNA (ENSEASG00005028184.1)". The record is from RNAcentral. Lineage: Eukaryota; Metazoa; Chordata; Mammalia; Perissodactyla; Equidae.